This 622-nucleotide ribosomal RNA is filed under the name Chitinophaga ginsengisegetis. RNAcentral's name for it is "bacterial SSU rRNA". It matches the Rfam family "Bacterial small subunit ribosomal RNA", at positions 109 to 729 of the family's 1533-position model. Lineage: Bacteria; Pseudomonadati; Bacteroidota; Chitinophagia; Chitinophagales; Chitinophagaceae. The record is from RNAcentral.
CGGAACACGUACGCAACCUUCCUUCAAGCGGGGAAUAGCCCAGAGAAAUUUGGAUUAAUACCCCAUAAGAAUGUGACCUGGCAUCAGGUAGCAUUUAAAGAUUUAUCACUUGAAGAUGGGCGUGCGUCUGAUUAGGUAGUUGGUGAGGUAACGGCUCACCAAGCCGACGAUCAGUAACUGGCGUGAGAGCGCGACCAGUCACACGGGCACUGAGACACGGGCCCGACUCCUACGGGAGGCAGCAGUAAGGAAUAUUGGUCAAUGGACGCAAGUCUGAACCAGCCAUGCCGCGUGGAGGAUGAAGGCCCUCUGGGUUGUAAACUUCUUUUAUUUGGGACGAAACACUUCUUUUCUAGGGAGCUUGACGGUACCAGAUGAAUAAGCACCGGCUAACUCCGUGCCAGCAGCCGCGGUAAUACGGAGGGUGCAAGCGUUAUCCGGAUUCACUGGGUUUAAAGGGUGCGUAGGCGGACAUGUAAGUCCGUGGUGAAAUCUCCAAGCUUAACUUGGAAACUGCCAUGGAUACUAUAUGUCUUGAAUGUUGUGGAGGUUAGCGGAAUAUGUCAUGUAGCGGUGAAAUGCAUAGAUAUGACAUAGAACACCAAUUGCGAAGGCAGCUGGC